AGGGGGACCUUCCCCAAUAGGGCGUAGACCCAGCGAACCAGGGUGUGUUAGUAGCUCCCAUGGUACCUAGGGUCAAAUGGAGCCCUUCAUCUAGGGCAGAGACCGCUCAAACCAGAGUGUCAUGGGGAGCUCUCACAGCACCCAGGGUCGAUGUGAUCCCUCUUCUAGGGCAAAGACCUCCUCCAAUCAGGGUUUGGGAGGAGCUCCCACCACACCCAGGGUGGAGGGCCCCCCCAUUUAGGGUGGACACUAUUCGAACCUGGGUGUGGGGGCAGCGACCACCGCACUCAUGGUUGAAGGUACACCUGUCUAGGGGGAAGACCCCUCGAAUUGGGGUGUGAGAAGGAGCAUCCAGGGUCAAGGGGACGCCCCCCCUAGGGGGAAGAACCCUUGAACCAGGGUGUCAGAGUGAGCUCCCACUGCACCUAGGGUCGAGGGGAUCCCCCUUCUAGAGCUGAGACCCCUCAAACUGGGUUAUGGGGGAGCUCCCACAGCACCAAGGGUUGAGGGGACUCACCCUCUAGGGGAGAGAACCCUCGAACUGGGUGUCGUGGGGAGCUCCCACUGAACCCAGGGUGGAGGGAACACUCCCCACGAGGGGUGACAACCCUUCAACCGGGAUUUUCCAGGGAGCUCUCUCUGCAAAGCCCUGCCUUCCCGGACUGGAGUUUCCUGCUCUCCCCUGGCCUGGGCCCUCUCCUAGGUCCCUUGCCUGAGCUCCUUGCUGGGGUCCUGGCCCCCACCCCACUCACACCAGUCCUGAGGCAUUUCAGGCUGUGCCCUGCUUUGGCCCUCCUGUCCUUUCUGACUGUGCCACACCCGCUUUCCUGAUCCUCUUCCCAGGAUGCUCACGGGGGUGGGGGGUGACUUGACCUUGCCUCUUGGCCCUAGGGGCUCCCUUUGGAAAACUAGCCCUGCCCCUUGCCUGGGCCCUUUGACCUCCCUCAGCCCAGGCCCUGCUCCUGACCCCUGAUACCCUGCAGUGGACCUGGGCCAGGAGCCCUUCUCCCCCUGUACCACCCACUCCACUUUCUCCCUCCCUUCUUGUUGCUCACCCUCCAUGUUUCUUUUCAUUUACCCAGGCCGAGGUGCUAGCACUUGGCUCUCCAUUACAGGACCUGGCUCCUUGCUUGAGACCCUGGCUACCCA
This 1149-nucleotide long non-coding RNA is filed under the name Marmota monax (woodchuck). The record is from RNAcentral. Lineage: Eukaryota; Metazoa; Chordata; Mammalia; Rodentia; Sciuridae.